Long non-coding RNA from Nasonia vitripennis (jewel wasp), 1222 nucleotides. RefSeq lists it as uncharacterized. NCBI's taxonomy places the organism in Eukaryota, Metazoa, Arthropoda, Insecta, Hymenoptera, Pteromalidae. The record is from RefSeq and is a predicted model, not a curated record. The transcript has 3 exons.
GGCUAGGAAAUAUUUGAUAAUAAGAUUGUAAUCGUUAUACUGAUCCUGACUAAAUGUCAGUCCACAAUCAACAAAUGGCUAUAAUAAGCAAAUAGAAUCAAUUGUUGAUUUUACCAAUCUUAAAAUAGAAGCAUUUACUUUUAGGACGAAAUCAAAAGCAAAUUAGUGGUGUUUUGAAAAGAUGAAAAGCAAGUUUUAUUUGUUCUCAAUUGUUUGAAUAAAGAGCAGCAUGUGCCACAAGGAUAAUCAUGCACUUUGUAAAAAUAUAACUAAAACAAAAGACGCGAGCGCGGGGUUUGAAGAAAUCCAGAUCCUAACCUUAACACUAAGCACUUGUUAUCGAUGAAUAAAAAAUAUAGAUUCGCUCAUUUUAAUAAUGUUUUUUGUACCAUUCUCUUUUUAUACUUGCUCAUAUACUUAGUACUUACUUUCGUAAAUGGAAGAUGUGUAUAGUUUGAACUCCCGACUGUUUCAGAUGCCUGCUAUAUCAAUACAGAAUGUACACCGCGAUUGUCGAUAAAACAGAUUUGACAUUAAAUUUAAGGGUGUUUUACACUACACCUGAUUUUAAGUUUUUGGCAAAAAAUCCUCAAAAUUUCAGUCAAUGUGUCAAUUAUGAUGAUGAUUCAGUAAUGUAUAUCUAUUAUUGCAAAAUGAAAAAUCUGAUAAUAGCAGAGUUAUGAGUAUUGAACAAUCUCCUUUGAAAGAGGUAAAAAGAAUGAAGGUCAGUAUACCCGUUAGUUCAUGAUCAGAAUCCGAAAGAAGAAUGCAACUGACAAAAAAGACAAUCAUGCAAGAAAGAUUGUUGGAAUUAUCAUGUAAUUCUAUGAGAGAUGAAAAACUUAAAAAGUCAUCGGUAAAAGAGCCAGGAGUCAACAAAUGUUUUAAAAAUUAUCCAAGACAACAACAUAAUAAAAACUCUAUUCAACUCUACAACACUGUCUACUGCACAAAAAUAAACUAAAACUAAAAAUGUGGCAAGUACACUGGCACAUACUGCUUUACGUCAAGAAAAAAAGGCAUUAAACUUUCACAAUAAGACUCAGAUGGCCAAUCUGGUUUUUCAAAAGGUUCUGAUGAUUCCUUUAUUUCUAAAUUAUGGUAUUUUGGUCUACCAGUUGGUUCCAUAAAAACAGUGGAAAAUUUUGUAUAAUCUGGAGUUUUACUAAAAUGAUCUAAAUUUUCUGCAAACUAAACAAAAAUAAAAUUUUUCUAAAAAUUA